This is a non-coding RNA of Nerophis lumbriciformis (worm pipefish), 133 nucleotides long. Lineage: Eukaryota; Metazoa; Chordata; Actinopteri; Syngnathiformes; Syngnathidae. The record is from RefSeq and is a predicted model, not a curated record.
AAUGCCCCUUGAGGCGUUGCAGCGCAGCCUUCCGUGCUGUAGUUGUGUCAAAAGGCGGCAAAGAGCAAAGGCGGUCGUCUGCACUGAGUCUACGCCUCAGUGAUGACUCGGCGUUUUAUUGACCGCCAACAUG